Molecule: non-coding RNA, 81 nt
Organism: Ornithorhynchus anatinus (platypus)
Lineage: Eukaryota; Metazoa; Chordata; Mammalia; Monotremata; Ornithorhynchidae
Source: Rfam
CGGUGUGAGGGGGCCGUACCUCAUGCAGAGUGUUGGUGGAAUUUGUGUGCGGCUGCAUAGUGUGCGGCCUCCCCACACAGU